AACUUCGGGAAAAGGAUUGGCUCUUAGGGCUGGGUGUAGGGGGCUCGGACCUCGCGUCCGGGCCGGAGCUGGGAGCGCUGCGCCCUCGGGUGCGGCGAGCCCGGCACUGGCCCGGGCAACGGGUUCGAGAGCGGUGGCUCUCGGGUCACCAAUCCCUGCACAAUGAACAGCUGACUAAGAACUGUAACGGACAAGGGGAAU
Molecule: ribosomal RNA, 201 nt
Filed under: Tiarina fusus
Lineage: Eukaryota; Ciliophora; Prostomatea; Prorodontida; Colepidae
Description: Tiarina fusa partial Eukaryotic large subunit ribosomal RNA
Rfam family: Eukaryotic large subunit ribosomal RNA
Source: RNAcentral